This 201-nucleotide unclassified non-coding RNA is filed under the name Hevea brasiliensis (rubber tree). The record is from RNAcentral. Lineage: Eukaryota; Viridiplantae; Streptophyta; Magnoliopsida; Malpighiales; Euphorbiaceae.
GCCUUCAGAACUUGUUGGUCAGCAGACCGAAGAGUAGCUCAGGUUGAAUAUAAUGCAAAUGGUACAACCAAAAUGAUACUCAGCAGAAGUAAAAUAGUGAUGCGGAGAGAACGCCCAAAUUGCAUGCAAUUCUGUGAACUUGGAGUAUGUCGGUGGAGUACACCUGCCUUUCCGACAAGAUGCUGAUCAUUUGAAAUUUUA